CGCCCGCAGAGCUACAGGGGCACGUGGUUGCGCUCCUCCGGCGAGCGCGGCGUGUACUCGCUCGGGCUCUGCCCCGCGAACGAGCGG
Molecule: transfer RNA, 87 nt
Filed under: Phytohabitans houttuyneae
Lineage: Bacteria; Bacillati; Actinomycetota; Actinomycetes; Micromonosporales; Micromonosporaceae
Description: tRNA-Arg
Source: RNAcentral